This 73-nucleotide transfer RNA is filed under the name Deltaproteobacteria bacterium. RNAcentral describes it as "tRNA-Glu". It matches the Rfam family "tRNA". Rfam says of the family: Transfer RNA (tRNA) molecules are approximately 80 nucleotides in length. Their secondary structure includes four short double-helical elements and three loops (D, anti-codon, and T loops). Lineage: Bacteria; Pseudomonadati; Myxococcota; Myxococcia. The record is from RNAcentral.
GCUCCCCUCGUCUAGUGGCCUAGGACGGUGCCCUCUCACGGCACAAACACGGGUUCGAAUCCCGUUGGGAGCA